Molecule: transfer RNA, 64 nt
Filed under: Blasticotoma filiceti
Lineage: Eukaryota; Metazoa; Arthropoda; Insecta; Hymenoptera; Blasticotomidae
Description: tRNA-Arg
Source: RNAcentral
AAGUAUGAAAUAAUUUUUAUAAUCAAUUUCGACUUGAUUCUCAAGGCUUACUACCUCUUACUUU